Molecule: ribosomal RNA, 841 nt
Filed under: Laetisaria buckii
Lineage: Eukaryota; Fungi; Basidiomycota; Agaricomycetes; Corticiales; Corticiaceae
Description: partial 12S small subunit ribosomal RNA
Rfam family: Bacterial small subunit ribosomal RNA
Source: RNAcentral
CUAACUGAAAUCACAAACAUGCCAAAAUUGGUAUAGUGGGUGAUAACAUAAGGGAAAAUAAUGAUGAUACCUUAUUAUUAGUGCUGUCCAAGUCUCGUGCCAGAAGACUCGGUAAGGCGAGAGGCGCAAACGUUAGUCGUCUUAAUCAGGCGUAAAGGGUUCGUAGGCAGCUUAGAACAUCUUUCUUUUUAAAAAUUAGCCUUUAUUAUACAAUUAAGUAUAAAUUCGUAAAAUUUAAGAUAAGUAAAAGCUAGGAUCUUAUUGAGGUUAUAUUAAAUAAUACUUAAGGUAGGGAUAAAAUCCUCAGAACUUAAGGGGAAUACUAAUGGCGAAGGCUAUUUUUCCACUAUGGAUCGACGCUGAGGAACGAAGGUGAGGAUAGGAAAAAGGAUUAGAUACCCAAGUACCCCUCUCUGUCAACGAUGAAUGGUGAUUUCUAGUAUUCUAAUGAGAACUAGUUCUUAUGCUAACGCGCUAACCAUUCCGCCUUGUGAGUACGGUUGCAAAACUGAAAACAAAAAAAUUAGUCGGUCUCGAAGCAAACGAAGUGAAGCAUGUUAUUUAAUACGAUAAUCCGCGUAAAAUCUUACCAGUUCUUGCAUACAAAACUUACUAUCCACAAAAAAAAAGCCAGAUAUUUUACUAUAUUUAGUUUUUUUAUUGUUGGAAUAGGAGGAGUGUUCAUAAUUUAAUUUAAAAAAAUCAAAAACCACUCUGCUACAGGUGUUGCAUGGCUGUCGUCAGUCCGUAUCGUGAGAAGUGAGGUUAACUCCACUAACGGACGAAAUCCCUGUUAUUAAUUUAUACUUAAUAAUUCAUGGUCUUUACAUAUUCCAUUGGG